GGAAGGUGAACAAGAUUCUCUGAAUAAAUAUGGGCAAGACUUGUGGGAGAGACGAACUCGUCGGUAACUAAGUAGUCAAUGUAAGUUGCACCAGUUGUGCCCGGGAAUCCCAUGUAUGAAACUUGGAUUGGUGCAGGUUGCAUUGCGAAGAUUUCAUUCCUUGCACCCUUGGUGUAACCAUUGAGGUUGAUUAAGAUCUGUAUCUUAUCAUCAUUUAUCAUUCGGGCAAUCAUAUCAGAAGACA
Molecule: unclassified non-coding RNA, 244 nt
Filed under: Hevea brasiliensis (rubber tree)
Lineage: Eukaryota; Viridiplantae; Streptophyta; Magnoliopsida; Malpighiales; Euphorbiaceae
Source: RNAcentral